CAAUCUCAGAGCCAGGCGCAGGGACCU
Molecule: unclassified non-coding RNA, 27 nt
Filed under: Mus musculus (house mouse)
Lineage: Eukaryota; Metazoa; Chordata; Mammalia; Rodentia; Muridae
Description: oocyte_clustered_small_RNA5707
Source: RNAcentral